RNAcentral lists this ribosomal RNA (686 nucleotides) under uncultured organism. Its description in RNAcentral is "bacterial SSU rRNA". It matches the Rfam family "Bacterial small subunit ribosomal RNA", at positions 84 to 748 of the family's 1533-position model. The record is from RNAcentral.
UUCAGAUGAGAGUGGCGGAAGGGCGAGUAACGCGUGGGCAAGCUGCCCUCGAGCCCGGGACAACCCCGCGAAAGCGGGGCUAAUACCGGAUGUGUUCUCCCAGGGCAUCCUGGGAAGAAUAAAGGUGGGGAUCUUUCGGGACCUGCCGCUGGAGGAGGUGCCCGCGUGCCAUCAGCUUGUUGGUGAGGUAAUGGCUCACCAAGGCUUACGGCUAGCGGGUCUGAGAGGAUGGCCCGCCGCACUGGGACUGAGACACUGCCCAGACUCCUACGGGAGGCUGCAGUCGAGGAUCAUUCGCAAUGCGCGAAAGCGUGACGAUGCGACGCUGCGUGGAGGAUGACGGCCCUAGGGUUGUAAACUCCUGUCAUGAGGGAGAAGCCGGCGACGGGUUAAUAACCCGCCGGCCCGAUAGUACCUCAAGAGGAAGCCACGGCUAACUCUGUGCCAGCAGCCGCGGUAAUACAGAGGUGGCUAGCGUUGUUCGGAUUUACUGGGCGUAAAGCGUGCGUAGGCGGUCGAGUAAGUCGGAUGUGAAAGCCCGGGGCCCAACCCCGGAAUUGCGUCCGAAACUGCCCGACUUGAGUGCACGAUGGGACAGGGGAAUUCAUGGGAGUAGCGGUGAAAUGCGUUGAUAUCGUGAAGAACACCGGUUGCGAAGGCGCCUCUCCGGAAUGCAACUGACGCUG